AUUGAACGCUGGCGGCAGGCCUAACACAUGCAAGUCGAACGAGUGGCGGACGGGAGAGUAAUGUCUGGGAAACUGCCCGUUGGAGGGGGAUAACUACUGGAAACGGUAGCUAAUACCGCAUACCAUCGGAUGUGCCCAGAUGGGAUUAGCUAGUAGGUGGGGUAACGGCUCACCUAGGCGACGAUCCCUAGCUGGUCUGAGAGGAUGACCAGCCACCCGGGAACUGAGACACGGUCCAGAGUCCUACGGGAGGAAGCAGUGGGGAAUAUUGCACAAGGGGCGAAAGCCGGAUGAAGACAUGCGGGGUGGAGGAAGAGGGCCUUCGGGUGGUAAAGUACUUUCAGCGAGGAGGCGUUACUCGCAGAAGAAGCACCGGCUAACUCCGUGCCAGCCGCCGCGGUAAUAC
This 406-nucleotide ribosomal RNA is filed under the name uncultured bacterium. RNAcentral describes it as "partial 16S ribosomal RNA". It matches the Rfam family "Bacterial small subunit ribosomal RNA", at positions 29 to 526 of the family's 1533-position model. The record is from RNAcentral.